RNAcentral lists this small nuclear RNA (187 nucleotides) under Myotis lucifugus (little brown bat). RNAcentral's name for it is "U1 spliceosomal RNA (ENSMLUG00000030139.1)". It matches the Rfam family "U1 spliceosomal RNA". Rfam says of the family: U1 is a small nuclear RNA (snRNA) component of the spliceosome (involved in pre-mRNA splicing). Lineage: Eukaryota; Metazoa; Chordata; Mammalia; Chiroptera; Vespertilionidae. The record is from RNAcentral.
UUAGUAGGCUGGUGGUUCAUUCAUUCAUUCAACACACUAUUAGCAGAUAAUGCUGAACUUGAGUAAUAACUAUGAUGGGCACCAGCCAAUGCACUCAACAUGAGCUGACCUCUGAGGUUUCCACAAACGUGGAAAAUUCUACCACAUCGUUUGUGGUAAUGGGGGACUGCUUCCAUGCUCUCCCCUG